Molecule: ribosomal RNA, 464 nt
Filed under: Yamaguchiella vitiata
Lineage: Eukaryota; Metazoa; Arthropoda; Thecostraca; Balanomorpha; Tetraclitidae
Description: partial 12S ribosomal RNA
Source: RNAcentral
CUUAUUUGAAUCGUAAAGUAGAAUUUAGAUUUGGAGAAGAAAUGAUAAAAGAAAGCAUGAAAUUUAUUUUAGGGACCAGGAUUAGAUACCCUGUUACUUUUAAUGAAAAAUUUUUGGAAUAAUAGUAAUAAUGAAAUUUAACGGAUUUGGCGGCAAGAUAGCCCCUUAGAGGAACCUGCCCUAUAAACGAUGAACCACGAAAGCCAUUACUUUCCUUUGAGAUCAGUUUGUAUAUCGCUGUUGUCAGUUAGAUUCAAGAGAAUAUUUUCGUUAAUGAUAAGAUCAUUGACUUCAAGUAAAGGUGCAGCUUAUAGGAAAGAUAGAGGUGGGUUACAUUUAUGUGAAUAAGACGGAUAAGAUAAAUGAAGAAAUCUUUGAAGGUGGAUUUAACUGUAAAACUUAAUAAAGUUUGGUGAGAGCUCUAUCUUGUGUACACACCGCCCGUCGCUCUCCUUUUUUAAAAU